This 1643-nucleotide long non-coding RNA is filed under the name Bemisia tabaci. RNAcentral describes it as "lncRNA ENSSSA1NGG014715". Lineage: Eukaryota; Metazoa; Arthropoda; Insecta; Hemiptera; Aleyrodidae. The record is from RNAcentral.
AUGAGCAAUUACGAGAAGUCAGUAUCUACUCACCCAUCUCCCACAUCGACCAGUGUGUCUUCCUCUCCCUCCGCUCCAUCGACCAGUGUGUCUUCCCCUCCCUCCGCUCCAUCGACCAGUGUGUCUUCCCCUCCCUCCGCUCCAUCGACCAGUGUGUCUUCCCUUCCCUUCGCUCCAUCGACCAGUGCGUCUUCCCCUCCCUCCGUCCCAUCGACCAGUGUGUCUUCCCUUCCCUUACUUGAGGAACAUAAGGUGUCUCCCAAAAGCCCAACGCUCACACGUCCCACCCCUCACCGUUUAGAUCUCCGUUCCAAUUUCCUUUUGCAAGCCACAUUGCAAUUCGAUCAAUGGUACUAUGGCAAUCAGGUGGCAGUUAUCUCACAUCUCCAGAGGGAAAAGGAUAAGGAGACUUCAAACAAACAGUUGUGAUUGUUGCUCUAUCCUUUACGUGUAUCCCGUUCCCCUCCCUUACCCCCCUUUUUUUCUGUGUUCACAGUGACUGAGCAACAGAACUCAAGGAAACCGCCAUUGCGGACCACCAUUUCAAAAAUCUUUGAAAAUAACCAAUGCGAGAUCCUCGACCAUCCUUUGCGGCCACCGUUCGAAAAGUGUGCAAAUGGACAUAUGUCUGCGGAUCAUGUCGUCAACAGCUGACGAAUGACGAAUGUCCUUACUGUAGAGUACCAUUGACAACGGUUAUAAAGGAUCGUAUUUUGGACGAAAUUUUCUUUGCUGUCCAUCCGACUUUUGGUUCAGAUGCCCCAGAACCACCAUUAGGCCGGGGGGCCAACCGGUCAUUGAAUGCAACCGCUGGACCCUCAAGACUGCCAAGGGGCAGGGGAUAUCUCCUCUCCCAGUUAGGAAUAGACUCUUCCCCACCACUGCCAGGUCGGAGGAGGCAAUUAGGCCAAUCUCCAAAUCUCCAAAGGACCAUUGGGAGAACUUUGAUCGAGGCCGCGUUCGAAGAGUCGCUUUGGGACACAUUGGACGUUGACGACGCCGGGAAUAUAUUUGCACGAGUUCCAGAUUCACCGCUCACGAGAAGUACUCAAAGCACAGUUGAUGCGGUAUCCCGUUUGCGCAAAACAGGUCUGCGUGUAGCCCGUAUCCAGCGGGAAGAGGAGCUUCUCAAAUCUCGCCGAAAUGAAAAAUACCACCCCCCCAAGGGGUUAAACAUGCUCCUUGUACAUAGACCAGCGGUUCGCUUGUUCAUGAACACGCUCAAGGAAAACUACCCUUAGGGGUGUAGAAAUAAUUAUUUAGGGGUUCGGAGGGUCAUCAACCCUUUUUUACUACCCUCUAAAACAAUCCUAGGGACAUAAAUAAAAUUAUACUGGUGCCCCAAAUUUCGGUUCUUGAAAACCACAAUAAGAUCGCCUUCCCGCACAUGAAAGUCAGCGUACUCUCGAAAGACCCGAGGAAAAACCGAGUUCCCGGAAAACCCAUUCCAUUUUCUAACAGUUGGUCAGAAACACCCUCUUGUCAUGUAGGUACCCCUACCCACCCCCGAAAUGAAAAAUACCACCCCCCCCAAGGGGUUAAACAUGCUCCUUGUACAUAGACCAGCGGUUCGCUUGUUCAUGAACACGCUCCAGGAAAACUACCCUUAGGGGUGUGGAAAUAAUUGUUUAGGGGUUCGAAGG